RNAcentral lists this small RNA (97 nucleotides) under uncultured Mamiellales. RNAcentral describes it as "partial Cyanobacteria transfer-messenger RNA". Lineage: Eukaryota; Viridiplantae; Chlorophyta; Mamiellophyceae; Mamiellales. The record is from RNAcentral.
GGUCCUUCUUGCAUUGCUCAUUCAAUGGAUUGAACCCGAGCCAUCUUCGUUGUGCCAUCUAUCCACAUCUGAGUGUGUACGGUGGUCCUAACAACCU